GUCCCCGAGGCAGAUUUCCAGUUCUCAGCUGCCACCUUUCAUGGAACCUAUCCCUCGAUGUCGAGGACCAGCAACCAGAAGAUGCGGUCAAGCAUCCUGUUCAGUGUACCGUUUCAGGAAAUCGAACUGUCAUCAACUGUUGUGGUCUAGAAGGACGAUUAUGUUCUGUUACUAUGUAUGAGGUUUUAUUUUGUUUUAGCAAGAGGCAGAAACCCCCCAGUGA
Long non-coding RNA from Catharus ustulatus (Swainson's thrush), 223 nucleotides. RefSeq lists it as uncharacterized. NCBI's taxonomy places the organism in Eukaryota, Metazoa, Chordata, Aves, Passeriformes, Turdidae. The record is from RefSeq and is a predicted model, not a curated record. The transcript is spliced from 2 exons.